UCCGGGGUAGCUCAGCUGGCAGAGCAGCUGACUGUUAAUCAGCUUGUCGUGGGUUCGAGCCCCACCCCCGGAGCCA
Molecule: transfer RNA, 76 nt
Filed under: Iamia majanohamensis
Lineage: Bacteria; Bacillati; Actinomycetota; Acidimicrobiia; Acidimicrobiales; Iamiaceae
Also listed under: 5 other names
Description: tRNA-Asn
Rfam family: tRNA
About the family: Transfer RNA (tRNA) molecules are approximately 80 nucleotides in length. Their secondary structure includes four short double-helical elements and three loops (D, anti-codon, and T loops). Further hydrogen bonds mediate the characteristic L-shaped molecular structure. tRNAs have two regions of fundamental functional importance: the anti-codon, which is responsible for specific mRNA codon recognition, and the 3' end, to which the tRNAs corresponding amino acid is attached (by aminoacyl-tRNA synthetases). tRNAs cope with the degeneracy of the genetic code in two manners: having more than one tRNA (with a specific anti-codon) for a particular amino acid; and 'wobble' base-pairing, i.e. permitting non-standard base-pairing at the 3rd anti-codon position.
Source: RNAcentral